GAUGAACGCUGGCGGCGUGCCUAAUACAUGCAAGUCGAGCGAACGGACGAGAAGCUUGCUUCUCUGAUGUUAGCGGCGGACGGGUGAGUAACACGUGGAUAACCUACCUAUAAGACUGGGAUAACUUCGGGAAACCGGAGCUAAUACCGGAUAAUAUUUUGAACCGCAUGGUUCAAAAGUGAAAGACGGUCUUGCUGUCACUUAUAGAUGGAUCCGCGCUGCAUUAGCUAGUUGGUAAGGUAACGGCUUACCAAGGCAACGAUGCAUAGCCGACCUGAGAGGGUGAUCGGCGACACUGGAACUGAGACACGGUCCAGACUCCUACGGGAGGCAGCAGUAGGGAAUCUUCCGCAAUGGGCGAAAGCCUGACGGAACAACGCCGCGUGAGUGAUGAAGGUCUUCGGAUCGGAAAACUCUGUUAUUAGGGAAGAACAUAUGUGUAAGUAACUGUGCACAUCUUGACGGUACCUAAUCAGAAAGCCACGGCUAACUACGUG
RNAcentral lists this ribosomal RNA (497 nucleotides) under uncultured bacterium. Its description in RNAcentral is "partial 16S ribosomal RNA". It matches the Rfam family "Bacterial small subunit ribosomal RNA", at positions 28 to 507 of the family's 1533-position model. The record is from RNAcentral.